GUUUUUUUAUUCUUUCAGGAGAAGGGUGAAUCAUUAUUUAGACUUUUGCACUCAGAACUUAUUAAUUUGGGUGGGAGUGAUUUUGGAAGUUAACAGUUUGGUGUCUUUUGCAAGAGUAUUUGUUGGAAAUUGAAAGCAUAUUUAGUUGCUUUAUUUGUUGUGGAAAAUGUCUUGCCUGCAGACUCUGCUAUUUGGUUAUAACAUUGAAAAUGAGCUUGAAAUUAUCUUGGUGUUUAGUGGAUGUCAAGGAAAACUUAUUUUUCUUCAAUGAAAAAUACCAUGAGGA
This 286-nucleotide unclassified non-coding RNA is filed under the name Hevea brasiliensis (rubber tree). The record is from RNAcentral. Lineage: Eukaryota; Viridiplantae; Streptophyta; Magnoliopsida; Malpighiales; Euphorbiaceae.